CGUUGAGCUAACCAGUACUAAUUGCCCGUGAGGCUUGACCAUAUAACACCCAAACA
This 56-nucleotide ribosomal RNA is filed under the name Pseudomonas aeruginosa. Its description in RNAcentral is "partial 23S ribosomal RNA". Lineage: Bacteria; Pseudomonadati; Pseudomonadota; Gammaproteobacteria; Pseudomonadales; Pseudomonadaceae. The record is from RNAcentral.